UGAAACUGGGGGUCUUGAGGGCAGGAGAGGAAAGCAGAAUUCCUGGUGUAGCGGUGAAAUGCGUAGAAAUCAGGAGGAACACCGGUGGCGAAGGCGACUGCCUGGACUGNCCCUGACGCUG
Molecule: ribosomal RNA, 121 nt
Filed under: uncultured bacterium
Lineage: Bacteria
Description: partial 16S ribosomal RNA
Rfam family: Bacterial small subunit ribosomal RNA
Source: RNAcentral